AAGGAUUUAAGUUAAUAAAACUAUUAGCCUUCAAAGCUGAAAUUAAAGUUUGUACUUUAAGCCUUA
This 66-nucleotide transfer RNA is filed under the name Curculionoidea sp. 25 KM-2017. Its description in RNAcentral is "tRNA-Trp". Lineage: Eukaryota; Metazoa; Arthropoda; Insecta; Coleoptera. The record is from RNAcentral.